Zeugodacus cucurbitae (melon fly) is the source of this 1012-nucleotide long non-coding RNA. RefSeq lists it as uncharacterized. Lineage: Eukaryota; Metazoa; Arthropoda; Insecta; Diptera; Tephritidae. The transcript is spliced from 2 exons. The record is from RefSeq and is a predicted model, not a curated record.
UAUUACUACGUAUGCUACAUAUAUGUAUAUUUAUGAUGACUCUCGCAACAUAUUACACGGUACACAGUGAUCCCCGCUUAAGUGAUCCCCCCCAAAAGUCUUGCAUAUAUAUAUAUAUAUAUAUAUACAACUGUUCAAAAUAAUAGGUGCACCAAAAUUUUUCAAGCAAAACUCAUCAUAAAUAAUUUUCAAUCAAAAUUUUAAGAAAAGUGCAAAUGUAAUUCAAUUCUUUAGAUAUUCACAAGUGAAGUUAAAAAAAUUCACAUUUAAAUAAACCAUAACAAAGAAAUGUGGAUCAAAGCAUGCUACAUAGCCGAAAUCAGCCUGCUCAAAAAAUAAGUACACUUUCGAUAAAUCAUUUAUUAUUGAAAAAUAAAUUCUAAUACACAUGUUUUGUUGUAUAUUUAACAUUAUUUAGUUAAUAGAGAGUAUAUCCACCAUCAUUUCGGAUUUAAAAAAAAAUUUUUGGACAUUCUAGAUGGGUCGCAAGUCACACUCCACCGUUGAAGAAGUUCACAACUCAUUCGGCCGGAAUCAUGUCAGCAGUUUUUUUGGCACCUCCGAAUACAGCAUAUAACUCAGUUAUUUUUUCAAUAUUUUUGUAAAGAAAAAAUUUUGAAAGGUAGCUGAAAAUAUACCUUAUUAUGUGCGAAAAACUUCGAAACAAUCGGUCGAGUGCUUUCUUUAAAAAAAAAUCACGAAAAUCGACUAAUUUUUCAUGGGUUACACUGGUAUAGGCCCUUAACGAAUCAAGAUUAAUUUUAAUUGAUUUUGAAGUUAUAGGUAACUUGUGAAAUUAAUUAAGACUACGGUGAUGAUUUGUGUUUUUUGUGAAAUAUGUAAGAAAAUAUCACAAUUUUUUUGUACCAUUUUUGUGCGUCUUCAAUGUGUUUACAUAAAGUUUUAAAUGUGUUCCCCCCACCUUUAGGUUUAUUUUAUAUUAUCUUUAUCAGAGCCUUAAGGUAAUAAAAGUCUUAAAGUUAGGUGCGGAAAUUUGCGGAUGUAUUUGCAA